CCUUUAGAGUUUUGGAUCCUGGCUCAGAUUGAACGCUGGCGGCAGGCCUAACACAUGCAAGUCGAACGGUAACAUGAACUAGCUUGCUAGUUUGAUGACGAGUGGCGGACGGGUGAGUAAUGCUUGGGAAUUUGCCUUUAGGUGGGGGACAACAGUUGGAAACGACUGCUAAUACCGCAUGAUAGCUACGGCUCAAAGGGGGCUUCGGCUCUCGCCUUUAGAGAAGCCCAAGUGGGAUUAGGUAGUUGGUGAGGUAAAGGCUCACCAAGCCGACGAUCCCUAGCUGGUCUGAGAGGAUGAUCAGCCACACUGGAACUGAGACACGGUCCAGACUCCUACGGGAGGCAGCAGUGGGGAAUAUUGCACAAUGGGCGCAAGCCUGAUGCAGCCAUGCCGCGUGUGUGAAGAAGGCCUUCGGGUUGUAAAGCACUUUCAGCGAGGAGGAAAGGUUAGUAGUUAAUACCCUGCUAGGCUGUGACGUACU
RNAcentral lists this ribosomal RNA (484 nucleotides) under Pseudoalteromonas sp. D10. RNAcentral's name for it is "bacterial SSU rRNA". It matches the Rfam family "Bacterial small subunit ribosomal RNA", at positions 1 to 479 of the family's 1533-position model. The record is from RNAcentral. Lineage: Bacteria; Pseudomonadati; Pseudomonadota; Gammaproteobacteria; Alteromonadales; Pseudoalteromonadaceae.